CCAUGCCGCGUCGAUAUGCCGGCGCCGGCUUUUCAUAAACAAAUCACAAUUCACCCUGAGCUGUAUAGAGAUAGACAUUUUUAACAUCAUGGAUGAAGUUUUCAAUAGCAUGAAUGGCUGUAACUGCAUAAUCUGCUACAGCUAAGGGCUUAUUUUUAUCCCUCCCUCCGCGGAACGCAACAGAUCAGGUUAAGUAUCUGCGGUUCUGCUUGAUGCUAAGGCUGAGAUUGUGAAAAUCAUCUCUGAGGAGCAAUCCAAGCAUUCUGUUGGCAUGCAUGAAAAUAGGGUGGAAUCGCGAAAAUAGAUAGCAUUGUGAAAGCAGUGAGGCUUAUCAUGAUCCUCUGUGACAUGGAUGAAAAAGAAACCUCCCAUUAGUCCUGAGCAGAUUUUAAUCUAACACUACAGCAAGUUAAGUAUUGAAGCUUUAAAAGCAAGCCCAAUGAGACAUCAAAAUGCUAGAUAUUGUAUGGAAUAUGCUAAGAAUAGGCCUAUGUCUUGAUUUGUCCUGUCCACCGACGUACUUAGGUUCAAUAUUGUAUUAUUGGUUGAGGGGAAUCCAGCCAACACUGAACUGUCCUUAUAGUGUAGUAGAAUGUAAGCUCUGAAUUACUGAAAAGCCCUGUAACAAAAUAUUUUUUCUUAUUUCCAGAAUGAUGCCUAAAAGGAAGAAUUUUUACAGACCACAAACCCACAAAAAAGGGUAAAUUCUGCAUCACUCCUGGUUUGAAGGGGUUCAUCUGUACUUGCAACAUUAUGAAUGAGAAGGAGUGUGUCCGAGAAUCUUACAAUAUCAUGAAUGAGUUCUCUGCCAAAUUAUUCCCUGAAAUGAAGGAACCAGAAACUGCUGAAAAUGUUGAAGCUUCAGAAGUAGAAGAUGAGCUAGCAAAAGAAAUCGAAGAGCUUAAAUCAUCGGAUGAUAAAACAGAGCAAGAGCAAAGAAAAUUCAGUGUUGUUAAUACAGAUAUUAAGGGUGUGGUAUUUAUUAAGACAACCGUAAGUAUCUACUAUUAUUUUCGUAUCGUGAGGUCGAAGGGCCUGAAUCUGAAAUCUUAUAACGUGUAGAAAAAAUAUAUCGUCCUAAGUAAAGUUUAAUAUUGGUUCUUGUUUCAAAGCUAUGUUUUAAAAUUUUCUAUUUUUUAAAACAACAAACGUUGCUUUUGGAAUUUGAAAAUGACUGUUUUCAACCUUUCUGCAUAUCAUCAAAUAUGAGGGAGUUUUACCAAAUUUGUCAGGAAAAUAAGGAAA
RNAcentral lists this long non-coding RNA (1245 nucleotides) under Bemisia tabaci. RNAcentral's name for it is "lncRNA ENSSWEETPG007103". Lineage: Eukaryota; Metazoa; Arthropoda; Insecta; Hemiptera; Aleyrodidae. The record is from RNAcentral.